UGCCGGAACCCUUCGAACACCUUCUGCAGAGGAUCGCCCGCAGACCCAAACCUCAGCAGUUCUUUGGAUUGAUGGGCAAGCGGGAUGCUGAUUCCUCCACUGAAAAGCAACUGGCUCUGUUAAAGGCUCUUUAUGGGCACGGCCAGAUCUCCCACAAAAGGCAUAAAACAGAUUCCUUUGUUGGACUAAUGGGCAAAAGAGCUUUAAAUUCUGUGGCUUACGAAAGGGGUGCAAUGCAGAAUUAUGAAAGAAGACGCAAGUAAACCCGCUCCUGUUUACUCGGCUUCAUUCAUGUCAGUGGGCAAUGAAAGGUAAAAGAGGACAUGCACAAGAAGGAAGAAUUAUUUAACACUUGUUUGGGGUUGAAAACUCAAAAAAGGUGUUUAUUUUUCAUAUUGUGCCAAUACGUGUUGUAAAUGUGUGAUAAUUGUCAUAUAACGACUCCCUCAGAAGUAGAAAUCAGUGGUCACUUCUCAACAAAGCACAGUGUUCAGUUGUAAAUUUGAAAUUGCAAAACCCUGUCAAUGAUAUAGUUCCAAGAAGGAAGGCAUCGCUUGGAAGCAUCAUGGCAGCCACUGCAGAAAGGAAGUCCUGGCGGUCGUGUGCAUCUUCCGUCUGUUUUCAUGGUGAAAAUGUACUGAGAUUUUGGUACCAAACUAUAUUUCUAUCCCUUGAAGCAUGUUUCAUGUUUUGUGACUAGAUAGAGAUGUUUUUAAAAGUUUCAAUGUGAUUCUAAGAUCUCCAUUUCAUUGUGAAAUGUGUUGUGAUAGCUAACAUUUUAAAUAAAAGAAAAUAUAUCUUGAA
Carlito syrichta (Philippine tarsier) is the source of this 804-nucleotide long non-coding RNA. RefSeq lists it as uncharacterized. The transcript is spliced from 5 exons. Lineage: Eukaryota; Metazoa; Chordata; Mammalia; Primates; Tarsiidae. The record is from RefSeq and is a predicted model, not a curated record.